GGCGACGUCGCCAAGUGGUAAGGCGAGGGUCUGCAAAACCCUUAUCGCCGGUUCGAAUCCGGCCGUCGCCU
RNAcentral lists this transfer RNA (71 nucleotides) under Anaerolineales bacterium. RNAcentral describes it as "tRNA-Cys". It matches the Rfam family "tRNA". Rfam says of the family: Transfer RNA (tRNA) molecules are approximately 80 nucleotides in length. Their secondary structure includes four short double-helical elements and three loops (D, anti-codon, and T loops). Further hydrogen bonds mediate the characteristic L-shaped molecular structure. tRNAs have two regions of fundamental functional importance: the anti-codon, which is responsible for specific mRNA codon recognition, and the 3' end, to which the tRNAs corresponding amino acid is attached (by aminoacyl-tRNA synthetases). tRNAs cope with the degeneracy of the genetic code in two manners: having more than one tRNA (with a specific anti-codon) for a particular amino acid; and 'wobble' base-pairing, i.e. permitting non-standard base-pairing at the 3rd anti-codon position. The record is from RNAcentral. Lineage: Bacteria; Bacillati; Chloroflexota; Anaerolineae; Anaerolineales.